GUCCACGCCGUAAACGAUGGAUGCUAGAUGUUGCGGGUAUUGACCCCUGCGGCGUCGCAGCUAACGCAUUAAGCAUCCCGCCUGGGGAGUACGGCCGCAAGGCUAAAACUCAAAGGAAUUGACGGGGGCCCCGCACAAGCGGUGGAGCAUGUGGUUCAAUUCGACGCAACGCGCAGAACCUUACCUGGGUUAAAUCCACCGGAAUCCCUCAGAGAUGAGAGAGUGCUCGCAAGAGAGCCGGUGAGAAGGUGCUGCAUGGCUGUCGU
RNAcentral lists this ribosomal RNA (266 nucleotides) under uncultured bacterium. Its description in RNAcentral is "partial 16S ribosomal RNA". It matches the Rfam family "Bacterial small subunit ribosomal RNA", at positions 793 to 1055 of the family's 1533-position model. The record is from RNAcentral.